Molecule: non-coding RNA, 71 nt
Organism: Scylla paramamosain (green mud crab)
Lineage: Eukaryota; Metazoa; Arthropoda; Malacostraca; Decapoda; Portunidae
Source: the annotation of a RefSeq genome assembly
GUCCGCUAGUGUAGUGGUUAGCACACUUGGCUUACAACCGAGGGGCCAGGGUUCGAUCCCCUGGGUGGACA